Long non-coding RNA from Amphiprion ocellaris (clown anemonefish), 2950 nucleotides. RefSeq lists it as uncharacterized. NCBI's taxonomy places the organism in Eukaryota, Metazoa, Chordata, Actinopteri, Pomacentridae. The record is from RefSeq and is a predicted model, not a curated record. The transcript is spliced from 3 exons.
UAUUUGCAACUAAAUACAAUCACACAUGAUAUAUCUGAGUCAUAAUGUGCAAAUACACAGAUCUCAUCUAAGUUAAUUUUUGCGAUUAAAGUAAAGUUUGUUAUUACCGAAUAUUUGUAACCAAAGAAAUGGAUUAAGUUUACAGUGUAAUUGGGCAUGACAUGUAUGAUUGGUCCGUGUAUUUAUCUGGCAAUUGGAUUUUCUGUCCUGAAACGGGUAUUGAAAAACAAAUAACGAGUGGUUAUUUGAUUUUCGUUUUAAAAUACAAAAAUUGAAAUACAAGGCGUUUUUCCUUUUCAUGAUCAAAAGGGAUAUACGAAAUUUAAAAAAUGCUUUGAUUUUCAUUUUAUAUUUAGAAUAAGAAAAAAAAAUCAGUAAGAGACAGAAAGACAAAAGGCCCGUUGUUUUUUUUUUUUCAUUUUCUGAGACCGGAAGUGGUCAUCAGCAAAUGUGGAGCCGAACGACAAGAUUCUCAGGGGGCGAAGCCAGAGAGCAGUGAUUGGUCAGACCAUAGAUAUAUAUAGAAGACAGUGCGCUAGCGUAUCUAGUCUGCUAUAUAUAUCUAUGGCCGGCACGUCUGGUAGCAUCUCUGGCUACUGUUGACCUUGUUUUUGGAGUAAAACACGGUGGAAGCUGAAUUAGUGAGGAUGACUCCUGCUCCUGUCAUCUCUAAGCUCCUCACACAUCUUUACCUGCACAUGAGGAAAAUCUCUCCUGUAGAAUGCAGAUGUUCAGAGGGAGAUGAUGCCACAUCUGGUCCAGCUGAUGGAAGGUCUUGAAGUUCUCUGACUGGCCUCGACUGAAGAUGGUCGUCUCACUGGAUUUAAGGUUCAGAUGCUCAGUAACAAACUCCACCAAUGAGCCAACAGGGAAGCUUUAGGUUUAUUAAAUGUUGCUAUGAAGGUUCGCUGUUUUUCUUUGUGAAUGCAAUGUGCUCCAACUGAAACUUGAAUUAGAACUUAGAAGUAAAUCCUUCCAUCUGAAAGGAUUUAGUUGCAUUAAUAACCUCAUAACAUUCUAAUUUUUAUUCCAGUCUUGGUUGGAAAUAGAAUCUCUGUAUUGAUUCAGGUAAAAACUGAACUUCACAGCAUGUUGGAGCAAAACAACCAGAUGAAAACUGUGAUGGUGUUGGAUUGUCAGACCGUAAUGUUGCAGCUCAAAGCAGCUUUUCUAGUUCAGUUCAUUCUGACAUUCAGCUAUGAAUCAACACAGCAGAUGGUGAUCCAUGCUGUGGAAGUCUCACAUCUCCUGAUUUAAUGGAGCUGCUUUGCACUUUUUACACUGUUUAUUCACCAACACUUUAUUUAAUAAAAGUCCCAUCUAGUUUUCAUGAGGAAUGUGAUGUUUUAAUUUCUCUGUGAAUAACUGCAGUCUAAUGCAACAGCUGGAACUGUAACAUCUGUCCUGAUAUUGAUCAUGAAGUAUUGAUCAGAAUACUUAUGGUCAGCAGUCAUCCCUGAAGUUUUACAUUAAAAUCUUUACUUGUGUUUUGAACUUUGGUAAGAAGCAGAAACUUGAGCGUUGCCAUGGAUACAUGAGUGUUAAGUUCUGUCCAUGAUUCCAUUUUGGGAAAUGCAGUCCAGCAGAUGAGUUUGUUUUUACUGACAGCUACCAUUCAGUCUGAGAUAUUAAAAAUAAAUGAAUGUGCAUAAUGUGGAAAUGAACAGAUUCUAUUUUUAUUUAUUCCUACAAGUGCUGCAGGUAAAGUUCCCGAAUGUGGAGGAAUUUAGGCUCACAAUCACAGACAAUAACUAUUAUCUGAAAGUCACUUUAUUGUUGUUUAUCAGCACAAUACAAAAAGAUUCAUGUCAGAAAUAUUCCAGUUAAGACUCUAGAAUAUCAUGAUUUAUGUAAAUUUACCUCAAUAAUAUAAAUGUUCAGGUUAAGAUUGUGCAGUGAUAUUUAUUAUGUAAGUUUAGCUGAUUAAAGUUUAUGACUCUGCACUAAAAUAUUAUUUAAAUUGACAUCAUUAUUAUAAUAUUUAGGGUCAGACCCUACAGUAUUGAGAUUAAGAAAUCAAAUAUUCUAUAAAAUGUAAAUACACUGAACUAAUUUGGAUAUAUUUAAGUGAGACUCUACAAUAUUAUUUGUCACAAAUCUAUCUAAAUCAAAAUUUUAAUCGUUUUUACUCCAAACAUUUACUGGACUGAUUUAAAUAUUAAAAUCACUCCUUUCUAAUCCUCUGCUAUACGUUCAAAACUGAGGCCUGACAUAGAAACACACAAGUAUCUGUUUGAAGGAACUUCUGCAGAGUCCUGGUUCCAGAACAUGAUGAUAGAAUUAUAGACGAACUUUAACAAAAGCUGCCUGAGAGUUUACAGGUUUUUAUGUUGGAUUUCUUCAGUAAUUUAAUGAUAGUUAUCAGCAAAAAUCAAGUGUUCAUUUGAUGAACUUCAUUUCCUAAAACAUCCAGAAUUGGGGCUCAUAUCUUUGGCAGUUGUAAAGUUUCUGCUCCUUCAAAGUUCACAACACAAUGAAUGAAUUCCUAAAACACUCUCAAUGCUGGAGAGCAUUUGAUGUUGAAGCAGUGAUCGGUUUUUCUGUUUCUUCUCUGGAGAUGCACAAUGAGGGACGUCUGCAGAGACUGAGAACAUCCUUACAUGAGGAAAAAGACUAUUGAAGACUACAAUGACAAAAACUAUCCAGACAGCAGAUGGCAUGCAUUCAAGGUGGGCUCUGAACAUUUGAUCUGGAACAGGAAUUCUAUCACGGCAGCAUGAGUUUCAUUUCAGUCUGUAGCUGCUGAAUUCAUGGAUAAAUCAUCUGGCACUAGAGAGGAAGACCAUCAAACAUCCACGUCAGCUGAUGGAGGUCCAAGAGUCUCACCGAACAAACAAACUACAGAGUGGAGACCUCGAAUCUGAUUGGACGGCCUCCUAUUCAGCCACAUGUGUGAACAAAUGCCUCUAAGUUGAUUUGUUUUCUAAAAUAAAUCUAGUUUGAGUCCUAA